RNAcentral lists this ribosomal RNA (524 nucleotides) under Salmonella enterica subsp. enterica serovar Typhimurium. RNAcentral's name for it is "partial 23S ribosomal RNA". It matches the Rfam family "Bacterial large subunit ribosomal RNA", at positions 1154 to 1651 of the family's 2925-position model. The record is from RNAcentral. Lineage: Bacteria; Pseudomonadati; Pseudomonadota; Gammaproteobacteria; Enterobacterales; Enterobacteriaceae.
CGUAUCACCCAAGACAACUUUACGGAGUUGACGAUUGACGGAGCGAAGCGACGUCAAAGCGUUCAUUAAAGUCGAGUUGGCUUAGGGAUACGUUCGUUGGGUAGGGGAGCGUUCUGUAAGCCUGUGAAGGUGUGUCGUGAGGCAUGCUGGAGGUAUCAGAAGUGCGAAUGCUGACAUAAGUAACGAUAAAGCGGGUGAAAAGCCCGCUCGCCGGAAGACCAAGGGUUCCUGUCCAACGUUAAUCGGGGCAGGGUGAGUCGACCCCUAAGGCGAGGCCGAAAGGCGUAGUCGAUGGGAAACGGGUUAAUAUUCCCGUACUUGGUGUUACUGCGAAGGGGGGACGGAGAAGGCUAUGUUGGCCGGGCGACGGUUGUCCCGGUUUAAGCGUGUAGGUGUGUGUUCCAGGUAAAUCCGGUUCACUUUAACACUGAGGCGUGACGACGAGGCACUACGGUGCUGAAGCAACAAAUGCCCUGCUUCCAGGAAAAGCCUCUAAGCAUCAGGUAACACGAAAUCGUACCCCA